CGCAAGAUUAAAACUCAAAGGAAUUGACGGGGGCCUGCACAAGCGGUGGAGCAUGUGGUUUAAUUCGACGCAACGCGAAGAACCUUACCUGGCCUUGACAUGCAGAGAACUUUCCAGAGAUGGAUUGGUGCCUUCGGGAACUCUGACACAGGUGCUGCAUGGCCGUCGUCAGCUCGUGUCGUGAGAUGUUGGGUUAAGUCCCGUAACGAGCGCAACCCUUGUCCUUAGUUGCCAGCACGUAAUGGUGGGAACUCUAAGGAGACUGCCGGUGACAAACCGGAGGAAGGUGGGGACGACGUCAAGUCAUCAUGGCCCUUACGACCUGGGCUACACACGUGCUACAAUGGGCGGUACAGAG
RNAcentral lists this ribosomal RNA (358 nucleotides) under Pseudo-nitzschia fraudulenta. RNAcentral describes it as "partial Bacterial small subunit ribosomal RNA". It matches the Rfam family "Bacterial small subunit ribosomal RNA", at positions 887 to 1244 of the family's 1533-position model. Lineage: Eukaryota; Bacillariophyta; Bacillariophyceae; Bacillariales; Bacillariaceae. The record is from RNAcentral.